UCGUGGCUGACGUCAUGCCCCAUCCAUCGGUGGAGAGAAGGCCAAAAAAGCAGCCUCAGAGUCCAAGAGCUAGCUCAAACCAGCUCUGAGGUUAGUCACUGCAUUUCUUUCUUUACUUGGAAAGAAAGAGGUAACCUUGUGGCUGAUUGAUUGUAGACAAAUUCAUGCUCUUGCUUACAAGUUGAAUGCUUUUGAAGUGCAUGAAUGGUUGAGUAGGAAACAAGCUUUUACUCCAAGGAUUAUUAUGAGCUUUUAGACACUAUAUAUAUAUGCCCAGAAGCUGUUCUACGAAAUGCCUACGAGAAUUGUACUAGGGUGGUCUUGGUCUUGGUUUAAAAUUUUUGUCACUACUUUUACGUUUUAUGUCUUGGUUAUUGUUUUGGUUGUCAUCUUUGCGAUUCUUGGCAUAGCUUAUGGUUUCCUGGCUGCUACUAUGGCUAUUCAAAGAAUGUCCUGACCAAGAGCAAACUCACCAAGGAGUACAUAUAUAGUGGAGAUCCUGGAGGAUCUUCAUGGUUGUUAUACCCCACCAAAGAACGUGAAGAGCGUCUGAAAAUCCCCAAGUUAUUGUAUUGAAAGAUGACGCGUUUCAUAUUGUCUAGGCUUUCCUGUUUUGACCAAAUCCCUCAUCUCUGUUUUUACCUGUCCUUUAAUUUGAUUCUCCAAGUGGAAUCGUACUGUGAUGGGAGUUUUAUCUUGAACCUGCCUCUUAUUUAGUAAGUUGAUUAAGCAAUCUUUGUGCACUUUUCUGAUCGAUGAUUCUGUUUGGCUCCAAAAAAACAGAUUCGUCAAUGUAAUUCUCGUAUGUCUUAGGUCUGGGUUAGGAGAUUGAAAACAAAAUGAUUAUGAAUCAUCGAUGGAAGACUGGUAUCGUUUCACAGAUGAUACACAAUCUUAUUAUGGUGUUGAUAUGGGUGCUCUAACAAAACCUUUCGCUGAAUAGCAGAAGAAAUACUAUAUUCGAUCAGACAUCAUUGUGGAACAACCUUUAUCCCAACCAAGUUAUUGGGACAGCUGCCAUACUAAGAGAGAUUGAUUGUUCAGUUGUCAGUGACAUCCUCGAAGUGAGAUCAAACUUUUUAUCUACAAUAACUCUUCCAAACACAAGGCUCUGUGGGUUCGCAGGAUGGUUGAUCACUUUUUUAUGUUCAUUUUCGACCCAGAAUGAAAUUGAGUUGACCACUGCUCCCGGUGUAGAUAAUGGCACACACUGAGGCCAACAGGUUUUCCUCUUGAACCCUCCAAUCCGUGUCACUGAAGGGGAUAAUCUGAAUGGUUCUUUCUCAAUGAAGUGCAACAAGGAAAAUCAUUUGAUGGAGGUUGAGUUUAGCAGUGAGAUUAAACAGUAUUCUGGACAGCUACUCCCACCUUUUAGAAAUUGAUAUUUCAUAGAGUGACUGGAGGCAAGGAUCGUCCCCACCAACAUAUAUAUUUCUGGAAGUCUGGAUUGUCCGAAGGAAUCAAACCUACAAGCCAUCUGUAAAAGUUUUGUGAGAGUUUUCCAGGCUUUGCCGCCAUUCUGCUAAACUCGGAUCUUCGUGUGUUUUUAAUUUUGUUAUUUUUUAUUUAAGUUAUGUCAACUUCCUAAGAAUUGUCUUUACAGUGACCUCUUCUCCUUACUGUAGCUUUGCAAUGCCAUAUUAGCGUUUAAACUUUCAAUAUUUUUUGUCUUUUGUUUUCUUAUCAAAUGUUUAUACAAUGGAAAAUGUAUCUGUACACUCAAAUCAAUACUGUACCUGUCUGCUUCAGUUAACUGUACCUGUAUAUUAAUAUACAA
Long non-coding RNA from Rosa rugosa (rugosa rose), 1777 nucleotides. RefSeq lists it as uncharacterized. The transcript has 5 exons. The record is from RefSeq and is a predicted model, not a curated record. NCBI's taxonomy places the organism in Eukaryota, Viridiplantae, Streptophyta, Magnoliopsida, Rosales, Rosaceae.